RNAcentral lists this ribosomal RNA (492 nucleotides) under uncultured bacterium. RNAcentral's name for it is "partial 16S ribosomal RNA". It matches the Rfam family "Bacterial small subunit ribosomal RNA", at positions 29 to 507 of the family's 1533-position model. The record is from RNAcentral.
AGUGAACGCUGGCGGUAGGCCUAACACAUGCAAGUCGAACGGCAGCACCGUAAGAGCUUGCUCUUACGGGUGGCGAGUGGCGGACGGGUGAGGAAUACAUCGGAAUCUACUUUUUCGUGGGGGAUAACGUAGGGAAACUUACGCUAAUACCGCAUACGACCUACGGGUGAAAGCAGGGGAUCUUCGGACCUUGCGCGAUUGAAUGAGCCGAUGUCGGAUUAGCUAGUUGGCGGGGUAAAGGCCCACCAAGGCGACGAUCCGUAGCUGGUCUGAGAGGAUGAUCAGCCACACUGGAACUGAGACACGGUCCAGACUCCUACGGGAGGCAGCAGUGGGGAAUAUUGGGCAAUGGGCGCAAGCCUGAUCCAGCCAUACCGCGUGGGUGAAGAAGGCCUUCGGAUUGUAAAGCCCUUUUGUUGGGAAAGAAAAGCAGCAGGUUAAUACCCCGCUGUUCUGACGGUACCCAAAGAAUAAGCACCGGCUAACUUCGUG